This 253-nucleotide ribosomal RNA is filed under the name uncultured bacterium. Its description in RNAcentral is "partial 16S ribosomal RNA". It matches the Rfam family "Bacterial small subunit ribosomal RNA", at positions 524 to 776 of the family's 1533-position model. The record is from RNAcentral.
UACGAAGGGGGCUAGCGUUGUUCGGAAUUACUGGGCGUAAAGCACACGUAGGCGGACGAUUAAGUCAGGGGUGAAAUCCCGGGGCUCAACCCCGGAGCUGCCUUUGAUACUGGUUGUCUGGAGUAUGGAAGAGGUGAGUGGAAUUCCGAGUGUAGAGGUGAAAUUCGUAGAUAUUCGGAGGAACACCAGUGGCGAAGGCGGCUCACUGGUCCAUUACUGACGCUGAGGUGCGAAAGCGUGGGGAGCAAACAGG